GCUUCGCUGACGAGUGGCGGACGGGUGAGUAAUGUCUGGGAAACUGCCUGAUGGAGGGGGAUAACUACUGGAAACGGUAGCUAAUACCGCAUAACGUCGCAAGACCAAAGAGGGGGACCUUCGGGCCUCUUGCCAUCGGAUGUGCCCAGAUGGGAUUAGCUAGUAGGUGGGGUAACGGCUCACCUAGGCGACGAUCCCUAGCUGGUCUGAGAGGAUGACCAGCCACACUGGAACUGAGACACGGUCCAGACUCCUACGGGAGGCAGCGGUGGGGAAUAUUGCACAAUGGGCGCAAGCCUGAUGCAGCCAUGCCGCGUGUAUGAAGAAGGCCUUCGGGUUGUAAAAGUCUUUUCAACCGGGGAGGAAGGCGAUAAGGUUAAUAACCCUUGUCGAUUGACGUUCCCCGCAAAACAAGCACCGGCUUACUUCCGGGCCCACAGCCGGGGUAAUACGGAAGGGUGCAAGCCGUAAUCGGAA
Molecule: ribosomal RNA, 477 nt
Filed under: uncultured bacterium
Lineage: Bacteria
Description: bacterial SSU rRNA
Rfam family: Bacterial small subunit ribosomal RNA
Source: RNAcentral